Molecule: ribosomal RNA, 705 nt
Filed under: Triticum aestivum (bread wheat)
Lineage: Eukaryota; Viridiplantae; Streptophyta; Magnoliopsida; Poales; Poaceae
Description: partial small subunit ribosomal RNA
Source: RNAcentral
AUGAGACAGUACUGGUGGGGCAUUGAAAAAGGGAAGAAAAAGAUGGCCUGGCUCAGUUGUGACAAAAUGAUGUUGUCAAAAUCAAAAGGUGGUAUGGGGUUUCAUGAUAUGUGUGCUUUCAACCAAGCUUUGUUGGCUAAACAAGCUUGGAGGUUAACUGAAACUCCUGGUAGUCUAUGUGCUCACUUCUUGCAAGCAAAAUAUUACCCUAAUGAAAAUAUUAUGGACAUAGUGUUUUCUAGGAAGUCUUUCGUAGUUUGGAAAGGGAUUAUUCAUGGUCUAGAGCUUGUGAAGCAGGGUAUCAUUUGGUGCGUUGGAGAUGGUACGUCCGUUCGUGUGUGGCGGGAUCUUUGGAUCCCAUUCCGUGUUGAUUUCCAACCAAUUACACCCAAGAGGAAUUGUAGAUUCAAUUGGGUGGCAGAUUUUCUUAAUGUUGAUGGUUCAUGGAAUAGACAUCAAUUAGAGGAUCAUUUCUGGCCAAUGGUUGUAUGUCAGAUUCCAAAAAUUCGUGCUUCGCCUCAAAUAGGCAAGACUUCAGAGCUUGCUUCACUGGCAAGUUUGGUCGGUUUAGUGUUAAAAAUGCUUACAAGCUUGCGACAGCGGAACUUCAUGACAUAUUUGCGGGUGGUGCAUCUAGCACUAACCCUAAUGGUGAUAGGGCCUUAUGGGAUUGUAUCUGGAAGGCACAAGAUCCAUUCAAGAUGA